UUUGAUCAUGGCUCAGAUUGAACGCUGGCGGCAGGCCUAACACAUGCAAGUCGAGCGGAUGAGAGGAGCUUGCUCCUUGAUUUAGCGGCGGACGGGUGAGUAAUGCCUAGGAAUCUGCCUGGUAGUGGGGGAUAACGUCCGGAAACGGGCGCUAAUACCGCAUACGUCCUACGGGAGAAAGCAGGGGACCUUCGGGCCUUGCGCUAUCAGAUGAGCCUAGGUCGGAUUAGCUAGUUGGUGAGGUAAUGGCUCACCAAGGCGACGAUCCGUAACUGGUCUGAGAGGAUGAUCAGUCACACUGGAACUGAGACACGGUCCAGACUCCUACGGGAGGCAGCAGUGGGGAAUAUUGGACAAUGGGCGAAAGCCUGAUCCAGCCAUGCCGCGUGUGUGAAGAAGGUCUUCGGAUUGUAAAGCACUUUAAGUUGGGAGGAAGGGCAGUAAGUUAAUACCUUGCUGUUUUGACGUUACCGACAGAAUAAGCACCGGCUAACUUCGUGCCAGCAGCCGCGGUAAUACGAAGGGUGCAAGCGUUAAUCGGAAUUACUGGGCGUAAAGCGCGCGUAGGUGGUUCGUUAAGUUGGAUGUGAAAGCCCCGGGCUCAACCUGGGAACUGCAUCCAAAACUGGCGAGCUAGAGUACGGUAGAGGGUGGUGGAAUUUCCUGUGUAGCGGUGAAAUGCGUAGAUAUAGGAAGGAACACCAGUGGCGAAGGCGACCACCUGA
Molecule: ribosomal RNA, 725 nt
Filed under: Pseudomonas sp. GWS-TZ-H179
Lineage: Bacteria; Pseudomonadati; Pseudomonadota; Gammaproteobacteria; Pseudomonadales; Pseudomonadaceae
Description: bacterial SSU rRNA
Rfam family: Bacterial small subunit ribosomal RNA
Source: RNAcentral